This 212-nucleotide unclassified non-coding RNA is filed under the name Chytridiomycota sp. Its description in RNAcentral is "partial contains small subunit ribosomal RNA, internal transcribed spacer 1, and 5.8S ribosomal RNA". The stretch from base 1 to 47 matches the Rfam family "Eukaryotic small subunit ribosomal RNA", at positions 1785 to 1831 of the family's 1831-position model. The record is from RNAcentral. Lineage: Eukaryota; Fungi; Chytridiomycota.
AAAGUCGUAACAAGGUAACCGUAGGUGAACCUGCGGUUGGAUCAUUAACAAUCCUAGACCCUCGGGUCUUUAACCCCUUGUGCAUCUAUUAACGUAUCUGGGUGUCGAGUGCUAGUAAUAGUACUAGGCGCCCAAACUUAUAAACCUUACUAUUUGUCUGAAUUUUUAUUAUAUAAAAAAAACAACUUUUGACAACGGAUCUCUUGGCUCUC